This 24-nucleotide microRNA is filed under the name Taeniopygia guttata (zebra finch). RNAcentral describes it as "tgu-miR-1460". Lineage: Eukaryota; Metazoa; Chordata; Aves; Passeriformes; Estrildidae. The record is from miRBase by way of RNAcentral.
AAUUUAUUGCAGCCUUCCCAGGGU